GUCUCGGUCGGGGUCGAACAAUGCGUUCGCCAGCAUCCUCGUUUCUCGGUGAUUGCACAUAAAGCUGCCAUUAUUAGAACUUCAGUGAGCGGGAAAUCGAAUAAAUUUGAAGUUGAAGAAAGUAAGAGAAAGUCGAAACGAAGCAAACGCGAUUCCUUAAGCCACGAUGUUCAGGGAUUUUAUAAUCUUUCCGGUGACGUCUUCGACGUGGAAUACCCAGAAGCUGAGAAAUUGAUUCUGUACGAUGAAAAAGACGAUGUCUCCACAGAAUACAACGAUACAAUAGCGGAAGAAUUAUCGAUCGACGUAAAUCC
Molecule: unclassified non-coding RNA, 314 nt
Filed under: Bombus terrestris (buff-tailed bumblebee)
Lineage: Eukaryota; Metazoa; Arthropoda; Insecta; Hymenoptera; Apidae
Description: misc RNA ENSBTSG00005033678.1
Source: RNAcentral